UACGGAGGGGGCUAGCGUUGUCCGGAAUCAUUGGGCGUAAAGAGCGCGUAGGCGGCCCGAUAAGUCCGCUGUGAAAGUCAAAGGCUCAACCUUUGAAAGCCGGUGGAAACUGUGGGACUAGAGUACGGAAGAGGCGAGUGGAAUUCCUGGUGUAGCGGUGGAAUGCGCAGAUAUCAGGAGGAACACCAAUAGCGAAGGCAGCUCGCUGGGACGUUACUGACACUGAGGCGCGAAAGCGUGGGGAGCGAACAGG
RNAcentral lists this ribosomal RNA (253 nucleotides) under uncultured bacterium. Its description in RNAcentral is "partial 16S ribosomal RNA". It matches the Rfam family "Bacterial small subunit ribosomal RNA", at positions 524 to 776 of the family's 1533-position model. The record is from RNAcentral.